This 336-nucleotide ribosomal RNA is filed under the name Mantidactylus sp. 9 MV-2009. RNAcentral describes it as "partial 16S ribosomal RNA". It matches the Rfam family "Bacterial large subunit ribosomal RNA", at positions 2014 to 2516 of the family's 2925-position model. Lineage: Eukaryota; Metazoa; Chordata; Amphibia; Anura; Mantellidae. The record is from RNAcentral.
UACUGUCUCCUCUUUCAAUCAGUGAAACUAAUCUCCCCGUGAAGAAGCGGGGAUACUUAUAUAAGACGAGAAGACCCUAUGGAGCUUCAAACCCAACUACACCCCUAACUCUAUAGCCCCUCAACCACACUGGCCCCUGUAUAGUUGAUUUUAGGUUGGGGCGACCACGGAGUAAAACAAAACCUCCAUAAUGAACGGGCCUACCCCCUUAUCUAAGAACCACACCCCCUAAGAAUUAGAAUACUAACAUAAAAUGAUCCAUUAUUUGAUUAAUGAACCAAGUUACCCUAGGGAUAACAGCGCAAUCCAUUUCGAGAGCCCAUAUCGACAAAUGGG